This 503-nucleotide ribosomal RNA is filed under the name uncultured bacterium. RNAcentral describes it as "bacterial SSU rRNA". It matches the Rfam family "Bacterial small subunit ribosomal RNA", at positions 372 to 885 of the family's 1533-position model. The record is from RNAcentral.
UGGGCGAAAGCCUGAUGCAGCGACGCCGCGUGAGGGAUGACGGCCUUCGGGUUGUAAACCUCUUUCAGUAGGGAAGAAGCGAAAGUGACGGUACCUGCAGAAGAAGCGCCGGCUAACUACGUGCCAGCAGCCGCGGUAAUACGUAGGGCGCAAGCGUUAUCCGGAAUUAUUGGGCGUAAAGAGCUCGUAGGCGGUUUGUCGCGUCUGCCGUGAAAGUCCGGGGCUCAACUCCGGAUCUGCGGUGGGUACGGGCAGACUAGGGUGAUGUAGGGGAGACUGGAAUUCCUGGUGUAGCGGUGAAAUGCGCAGAUAUCAGGAGGAACACCGAUGGCGAAGGCAGGUCUCUGGGCAUUAACUGACGCUGAGGAGCGAAAGCAUGGGGAGCGAACAGGAUUAGAUACCCUGGUAGUCCAUGCCGUAAACGUUGGGCACUAGGUGGGGGGGACAUUCCACGUUUUCCGCGCCGUAGCUAACGCAUUAAGUGCCCCGCCUGGGGAGUACGG